This 480-nucleotide ribosomal RNA is filed under the name Trimeresurus septentrionalis (Nepal pitviper). RNAcentral's name for it is "partial 16S ribosomal RNA". It matches the Rfam family "Bacterial large subunit ribosomal RNA", at positions 1858 to 2609 of the family's 2925-position model. The record is from RNAcentral. Lineage: Eukaryota; Metazoa; Chordata; Lepidosauria; Squamata; Viperidae.
CCUGCCAGUGAAUAUUAAACGGCCGCGGUACCCUAACCGUGCAAAGGUAGCAUAAUCAUUUGUCUAUUAAUUGUAGACCUGUAUGAAAGGCAAAAUGAGAGCCCAACUGUCUCUUAUAACAAAUCAAUAAAACUGAUCUUCUAGUACAAAAGCUAAAAUACUGACAUAAGACCAGAAGACCCUGUGAAGCUUUAACAAACCCAUUAAAUCUAAUAAUGAUUACUUUCGGUUGGGGCGACCUUGGAAUAAAAAAGAACUUCCAAUAUAUGACUACUCAUAAAAGAGGCAAACAAGCCUACAUUAGAUCCAGCAUAGCUGAUAAUUGAAAUAAGUUACUCCAGGGAUAACAGCGCUAUCUUCUUUAAGAGCCCAUAUCAAAAAGAAGGUUUACGACCUCGAUGUUGGAUCAGGACAUCCCAGUAAUGCAUCCGUUACUAAAGGUUCGUUUGUUCAACGAUUAACAGUCCUACGUGAUCUGAG